This 460-nucleotide unclassified non-coding RNA is filed under the name Hevea brasiliensis (rubber tree). The record is from RNAcentral. Lineage: Eukaryota; Viridiplantae; Streptophyta; Magnoliopsida; Malpighiales; Euphorbiaceae.
AAAAACAGGGAUACUUUACCCUGGUGAGGAACAUCACUCAUAUAUGCAUCAGUCUCUGUAACAGCAUUUAUAUUUUUAUUAAAUGAAUUUGUUAUCUGCUUAUCUUUUUAUUUCCCAAUUCGAUUAACCACUUCUUGCUUGAUGGAGCAUAUUGGCUGUCUUCUAUUUUCAAUUCAACUAACUAGUUGCUGGAUUGCAUGAAUUACUGUAAUUUCAAUGCCCCAGUCUCAUGGCGUGUGCGGCAUGGUGGUUUGUAAUUUUCACAAGGGUCCCAUGAACGUUCAUUGUGAUAAUUGAGUUACAACAGUUGAUGGCACAUUUGUUCAAUUUUAUAUAUUAUACAUAUGCAUAAAUAUAUACACAAUAUUUGCAAUCUAUCAAUUUCUUUUUCUUCGUUUCUCUAAUUUGUUGUUGAUAGGAGGAGUGGCGAAGAGGUCUUAAAGCGCUGAGGGCUGAUACU